This 319-nucleotide ribosomal RNA is filed under the name uncultured eukaryote. RNAcentral describes it as "partial 18S ribosomal RNA". It matches the Rfam family "Eukaryotic small subunit ribosomal RNA", at positions 1470 to 1796 of the family's 1831-position model. The record is from RNAcentral.
CCCUUAGAUGUUCUGGGCAGCACGCGCGCUACAAUGGUCUUCGCAAACGGAUGCAUUCUCGAAGGAGAAUGCCAAUCUUGGAAUCUAUGCCUUGGUCGGGACAGUUGCUUGCAAUUUUUCGACUCGAACCAGGAAUUCCUUGUAAUCGUGAUUCAUCACAUCACGAUGAAUACGUCCCUGCCCUUUGUACACACCGCCCGUCGCUCCUACCGAUCGAAGAGUUAGGUGAAUUGUUUUGAUCGAUAAGAUUUGACUAUGGUCAACUCUCGUUGUGAAAUUCUGUGAAUCUGACUGUUGAGAGGAAGGAAAAGGCGUAACA